CCUGCUAAAGUUCCCCAAACUGAGGACUUCUCUAAAGAAACAAACAAGAAGAUUUCCAGCCCCGCCUCUGCAGAAGUUGAAUCCGGAUCUGGGAAAAGAAGUAGAAUUUCAGAGUUGAAUCAGCGUGGAUGUUUGUCCCUGCACUCCACUGUCUCCCAGCCCCAUCCUUGAAAACCCUCCUUGUCCAUCUGGACCCAGGGACAGCUGAUACAGACAAUCACAUGAAUCUUUCCGACAAAGGUCUUCGCCUCUCACUGUGGCAAAAAAUGUAAUGGAUAGCUUUUGAAAGCUGUCUGACAUGCUUUCUUUUUCCUCCAGGGGUGCCGAACAUUGUCUGUGGAAUAUUGAAGACCCAACAAACUCUAGAAUGAUAGGCAUCAACAUGCUUGUAUUUGGAACUUGGAACAAUUGGAACUUGGUUAAAAACAGUUUCUCUCUGAUGUGUGGCUUAGGGCACGCACAGGUGCUUGGGGAAGAGAUUGUAUUGGUGUCAUCUUUUAGUCCAACAGGUGAUCUCUCCAGAGAAGCUACGCAGUCACGAUAACGAGGGCCUCCUUUUUUAAAGCGAAGGAAGGGGCUCUGGGCCCACAUUGCUUGGCUGCCUUCUCCCAGCCGCUUUUGAACAGCGACAUAAACAAGAACACAUCUGACUGUGCAAGAAGUAGCCGCAGGUGGACGUAGAGUCUAAAUUCCUAUGUAAGAAAGACUUCUCCAAGUCGGUGGCUCUGGACACCAGGAAUAAGAACACUGCUAGAAAGAACACAAGCUAAGGCCUCUGUAUUAUAAAAAAUAAAAUAUUUGUAGGUGAUUCUAUACAGACUCCACCCUGUUCACCACCAAUCUCUGGAGAUUCUAAUAUGCAAUCCUGGUGGCAAACCACUGGCUGAAGGGAGAGUGUGGCAGAGCCAUCGACCUGCCAAGAGAUGCGGUUUGCCUGUCUCACCACACACAGCGUCUGACCACAGGUGGAUGCACACGCCAUCUGCCGAGUUUUGCGGCACUCAGGUCUUACACAACAGUGUGUGUGUGUGUGUGUGUGUGUAUGAGACAUGUGAUGCAUUUGCUUUGUACUCGCUAACUAAAAGGACCUGGCCCAGGGGUAAUCCUGCCAACUUUUAGGUGGUAUAAAAUUCUCCUAAUGUCCCUAUUUUGUCAUAACAGGUAUUAACUUAUAUUUAACUGAAG
Molecule: long non-coding RNA, 1185 nt
Filed under: Equus caballus (horse)
Lineage: Eukaryota; Metazoa; Chordata; Mammalia; Perissodactyla; Equidae
Description: lncRNA (ENSECAG00000044580.1)
Source: RNAcentral